AAAGUCGUAACAAGGUUUCCGUAGGUGAACCUGCGGAAGGAUCAUUAUUGAAAUAAACCUGAUGGGUUGCUGCUGGUUCUCUCGGGAGCAUGUGCACACUUGUCAUCUUUAUAUCUCUCCACCUGUGCACCUUUUGUAGACCUGGAUAUCUUUCUGAAUGCCUAGCGUUCAGGUUUGAGGAUUGACUUUUGUCUUUCCUUACAUUUCCAGGCCUAUGUUUAUUCAUAUACCCCACUGUAUGUUAUAGAAUGUAAUAAUGGGCCUUUGUGCCUAUAAAACCUAUACAACUUUCAGCAACGGAUCUCUUGGCUCUC
Molecule: unclassified non-coding RNA, 314 nt
Filed under: Basidiomycota sp.
Lineage: Eukaryota; Fungi; Basidiomycota
Description: partial contains small subunit ribosomal RNA, internal transcribed spacer 1, and 5.8S ribosomal RNA
Rfam family: Eukaryotic small subunit ribosomal RNA (bases 1-47)
Source: RNAcentral